CCCCGGAGAUCCCCGAUGGUUCGCGUCAAGAACAGUUUCACAAAUGGCCACUCAGCCCUACCAUGUUCCACCCAGCCAGGCACCAUCAUCCCCUAGGGGACACUGGAUGGCCUUGUGGGAAGUGCUGGUGAUCAAACCCAAGGCCUUCUGCAUGCUAGGCAAGGACUUGAUCGUGAGCCACAUCCCCAGGCCCCCACUUCUACAGGUGACUUCUGCACCCGGAAGUCUUUGCUUUGAACCCCAUGGACCUGGAAUCUUCAUUUACAGAGGGCCUAUGGAACCCCCUUUCUCUUCUGGAGUGUGCCCAGAGCCCCCACAUCCAGGAGUGGCGUAACAUCAGAAUACCUGCUUACGCUAUGGCUGUCUCCUGGUCCGCCUCUUGCCUGCAGGUGGCAGUCUCUGUGACAGACAUCACUAUGCAGGACACUAUGUCUUAGAGGAUGG
Molecule: long non-coding RNA, 444 nt
Organism: Apodemus sylvaticus (European woodmouse)
Lineage: Eukaryota; Metazoa; Chordata; Mammalia; Rodentia; Muridae
Exons: 3
Source: RefSeq, a predicted model, not a curated record